UGCCAGUCGAAACUGUUAGAAUUGAGUACAGAAGAGGAGAACGGGAUUCCUGGAGGAGCGGUGAAAUGCGUAGAUUUCAGGGAGAACACCGAUGGCGAAGGCAGUUCUCUGGUCUGUAACUGACGCUGAGGUACGAGAGCGUGGGUAGCGAACGGGAUUAGAUACCCCGGUAGUCCACGCUGUAAACGAUGGACACUAGAUGUCGGGCAUAAGCUCGAUAUUGCAGCUAACGCGUUAAGUGUCUCGCCUGGGGAGUACGGCCGCAAGGCUAAAACUCAAAGGAAUUGACGGGGGCCUACACAAGCGGUGGAGCAUGUGGUUUAAUUCGAUGCAACGCGAAGAACCUUACCUGGACUUGACAUUUCAAUGCCCUCUAUGGAAACAUAGUUUUUCCAUUUAUUUGGAACAUUGAAACAGGUGCUGCAUGGCUGUCGUCAGCUCGUGUUGUGAGAUGUUGGGUUAAGUCCCGCAACGAGCGCAACCCUUACCCUUAGUUGCCAGCGGAUAAUGCCGGGGACUCUAGGGGAACUGCCCAGAACAACUGGGAGGAAGGUGAGGACGACGUCAAGUCAUCAUGGCCCUUAUGUCCAGGGCUACACACGUGCUACAAUGGCCGGUACAAAGGGCAGCGAACUCGCGAGAGUAAGCGAAUCCCUUAAAACCGGUCUCAGUUCGGAUUGCAGGCUGCAAUUCGCCUGCAUGAAGGUGGAAUCGCUAGUAAUCGUGG
This 727-nucleotide ribosomal RNA is filed under the name uncultured bacterium. Its description in RNAcentral is "bacterial SSU rRNA". It matches the Rfam family "Bacterial small subunit ribosomal RNA", at positions 621 to 1347 of the family's 1533-position model. The record is from RNAcentral.